AUUUGUGUAUGAGUGAAUGUGUGUGUGUAUAUAAAAAGGGCUGGCAUUUGGGAUGUUUGAGCUGUUUGGCUACACACGGCACCAUGGUAUGGGGAUGUCAGGUGGCCGACAGAGUUUACAAGCAGUGGCUGCUGUAUACAAUGACCUUGUGGGGGAUUGUUGGCUACUACCAUUGAAGCUGGCGUCAACUCACCAUACUCACAGACUGUCCCUUCCCCUCAUUACCAC
Molecule: non-coding RNA, 228 nt
Organism: Pelobates cultripes (western spadefoot toad)
Lineage: Eukaryota; Metazoa; Chordata; Amphibia; Anura; Pelobatidae
Source: the annotation of a GenBank genome assembly